UCCAGACUCCUACGGGAGGCAGCAGUGGGGGAUAUUGCACAAUGGGGGAAACCCUGAUGCAGCAACGCCGCGUGAGUGAAGAAGGUCUUCGGAUUGUAAAGCUCUGUUCUUGGUGAAGAUAAUGACGGUAGCCAAGGAGAAAGCUCCGGCUAACUACGUGCCAGCAGCCGCGGUAAUACGUAGGGAGCGAGCGUUGUCCGGAUUUACUGGGUGUAAAGGGUGCGUAGGCGGCCCUGCAAGUCAGAAGUGAAAUCCAUGGGCUUAACCCGUGAACUGCUUUUGAAACUGCAGGACUUGAGUGGAGUAGAGGUAGGCGGAAUUCCCGGUGUAGCGGUGAAAUGCGUAGAGAUCGGGAGGAACACCAGUGGCGAAGGCGGCCUACUGGGCUUUAACUGACGCUGAAGCACGAAAGCGUGGGUAGCAAACAGGAUUAGAUACCCGUGUAAC
This 447-nucleotide ribosomal RNA is filed under the name uncultured bacterium. Its description in RNAcentral is "partial 16S ribosomal RNA". It matches the Rfam family "Bacterial small subunit ribosomal RNA", at positions 330 to 794 of the family's 1533-position model. The record is from RNAcentral.